ACCCACUUCUUUGAUAUGAUUAGUGGAGCCCAAGAAUCACCGGAGCGACUCCGAAGAAUCACAGAAGUUCACUUCUCAAAUUCACUGACAUUUCCGUCGUUGUAGCAACGAUUACGAAGCAAGAACAUGGGUUCCCAUUUUAGGGUUUCUGUUAUACCCUUCUUUCUCUUGUUCACUCUCCUUUCCUCCUCGGCGCAGAAGCAUGUAUGGUAAUCGAGAGAGGUAGGGCAAGAAUGGAUAGACAUAUUUGUGUGCAGAGAAUGAUAUAUUUUGAGUAUUUCGUGGUGAAAUGACGACUGCAGCUUUGUUUGAGGGCUGGACUCUCUGGCCUUUCAGUUGUCUUAUAAAUGGCUCUGAGCCGGGUUCUUGGCCUUGCGAAUGACAAUGCAAUAUUGUAAGAGAAAGGCCUUGUUCAAUAGUUUACUUAGAGGAGUAUAUAUGUAGGUAUCAUCCAUAUCUUGUUUAGUUUCGAAUUCAAUUGAAUCUUAUAUUAUGGUAUUUAUCAUCUUGCAGAUGCAAGUCUAGGGUAAGUUAUGCAUCUCACUUUUAAUACAUGGAAUUGGAUCCAAUUUGGUUAGAAAGGUUAUACUCAUUUGUAGGAGUUGUUUUAGUCUUAUUUGAAUUAAUAAACAGUUUAUACUCGUAUUUAAAAUUUCUUGGAAUUUUUGGAUUUGAA
Molecule: long non-coding RNA, 676 nt
Organism: Salvia splendens (bonfire salvia)
Lineage: Eukaryota; Viridiplantae; Streptophyta; Magnoliopsida; Lamiales; Lamiaceae
Exons: 2
Source: RefSeq, a predicted model, not a curated record